RNAcentral lists this ribosomal RNA (903 nucleotides) under Triticum aestivum (bread wheat). RNAcentral's name for it is "partial small subunit ribosomal RNA". Lineage: Eukaryota; Viridiplantae; Streptophyta; Magnoliopsida; Poales; Poaceae. The record is from RNAcentral.
AUGGCAGGGUUCUUCAGCACCUGUGCUGCUUCUGAUCACUAUUGUUUGCAGCUCAGAUCUGGAUCAGCUCACCAUGAACUGAUUAGACCAAACAAGUACAGAAGGACCAUGAUCAGGUGCUGCAGCACAGCAAAGGGGAAGACAAGAAGGGACUACUACCAGGUUCUUGGAGUAGCAACUCAUUCCACACCUCAGGAGAUCAAGGAAGCUUACAGGAAACUCCAGAAGCAACACCAUCCUGAUAUUGCUGGCGACAAGGGCCAUGACCAUGCGCUGUUGCUGAAUGAGGCGUAUGAGGUGUUGAUGAGGAGUUCAUCCAGGAAAGCUGAUGGAUUUGGCAAGAGCAGAGGCGGCUUUGGGAGCGGUUACACCGGGGACGGGUACAGUUCUUGGAAUGGGCCUAUCAGGAGCCAGGCUCUCUUCGUGGAUGAGAACAAAUGCAUAGGAUGUAGGGAGUGUGUUCACCAUGCUGGGGAGACAUUUGCCAUGGACGAUGUUCUUGGAAGCGCGCACGUCGAAGUCCAGUUUGGCGACGUGGAGCAGCAGAUCCAGGUGGCUGUGGAGUCUUGCCCUGUGAACUGCAUCCACUGGGUUGGGAGCGAAGAGCUCCCGGUGCUGGAGUUCAUGGCACGUCCACAGCCCAAGGAAGGGCACGGCGUGUUCGGCGGCGGGUGGGAGAGGCCUAAGGACGUGUUCGCGGCGGCCAGGAACUUCUCCAGGAAACUCGAGAAGCAGGAGCGGCAGGAAAGUUCCAGGGGCGCAAACGGGGGUGAAGAUAUGGAGGCUGAAACGGCAGCUCAGGCCGAAGCGAGACGCCACGCGGGGCAGGAGCUCCGGUGGAAGAGUUUGUUCGAUGUUUGGAAUGGGUUGGGAGACUGGAGGAAAUCUGGAACAGACAGGUAG